This 3441-nucleotide long non-coding RNA is filed under the name Sus scrofa (pig). RNAcentral describes it as "lncRNA (ENSSSCG00065062321.1)". Lineage: Eukaryota; Metazoa; Chordata; Mammalia; Artiodactyla; Suidae. The record is from RNAcentral.
AGGGGUUGAAUCGGAGCUGUAGCCACCGGCCUACGCCAGAGCCACAGCAACGUGGGAUCCGAGCCGCGUCUGCAACCUACACCACAGCUCGCGGCAACGCCAGAUCGUUAACCCACUGAGCAAGGGCAGGGACCGAACCCGCAACCUCAUGGUUCCUAGUCGGAUUCGUUAACCACUGCACCACGAUGGGAACUCCCACUUAAAACCUUUUGUACAACAAAGGAAAGCAUCAACAAAAUGAUAAGACAACUUACAGAAUAGGAGAAAAUAUUUGCAAAUGAUAUGACUGAUAAGGGGUUUAUAUUCAAAAUAUAUAAACAGCUAAUAUAACUCAAUAUAGGAAAAUACAAAAUUGGUAAAAAACCUGAAUAGACAUUUUUUGAAAGUAAUACAGAUGACCAAUAGGCACAUGAAAAUAUGCUAAACAUCACUAAUCAUCAUAAAAAUGCAAAUCAAAACCACAAUGAGGGAGAUGCUAAAAAGGGGGGACCCAAGUACAUUGCUGUUGGAAAUGUAAACUGGUUCAGCCACUAUUAAAAACAAAAUGGAUGUUCCACAGAAAACUGAAAACAGAACUACCAUAUCAUCCAGCAAUUCAAAUCCUGAGUGUAUAUUCAAAGAAAAUGAAAACAUUAAUUUGAAAGGAUACAUCAACCGUGGUGUUCACAGCAGCAUCACUUACAAUAACCAACAAAUGGAAGCAACCUAAUUUCCAUCAACAGAUGAAUGGAUAAAGAAAAUGAAGUAUAUGUACACAAUAGAAUACCAGUCAGACAUAAAAAAGAAUGAAAUAUUGGACUUCCCAUUCUGGCGAAGCAAAAACUAGUAUCCAUGAGGAUAUGGGUUCGAUACUCAGCCUUGCUCAGUGGGUUAAGAAUCUGACAUUGCCGUGAGCUGUGGUGUAGGUCACAGAUGUGGCUCAGAUCCCAUGUUGCUGUGCCUGUGGUGUAUGCUGGCAGUUGUAGCUCUAAUUUGACCCCCAUCCUGGGAACCUCAAAAUGCCAAGGAUACAGCCAUAAAAGGCAAAAAAAAAAAAAAAGCAUGAAGUUUUGCCAGUUGCAAAAUCAUGAAUGGACCUGGAGGGUAUUAUGCCUAGUGAAAUAAGUUAGAGAAAGACAAGUAUUGUAUGUUAUCACUUACAUAUGUAACCCAAAAUAUAAAAUGAAUAUAACAAAACAGAAAUACACUCACAAAUGUAGACAAGAAACUAGAAGACAGGAGGGGCAAAAUCAGGGUAGGGCAUUAAGAAGUAGAAACUACUAUGUAUAAACUAAUUAAGCUACAAGGAUAUAUUGUACAGCACAGGGAAUAUAGCCAAUACUUUAUAAUAACUUCAAAUGGAGUAUAAUCUGUAAAAAUUGUGAAUCACUAUGUUGUACACCUGAAACUAAUAUUAUAAAUCAAACAUAUGUCAAUUAAAAACAUAGGAUCACCUCUUUGGUUAGUAGGUAAAUGUGUUUGUGGUAGUAAUAAAUAAAUAAGGCAAUACAAAAACACAUUUACUUUAGGAGGUCCUGCUGUGGCACAGUGGGUUAGGAAUCUGAAGUGGCUCAGGUCACUGCAGAGGUAAAGGUUCAAUCUCUGAACCAUCACAGUAGGUUAAUGAUCUGGCCCUGCCACAGCUUGGUCAGAGGUCAUAGCUGUGGCACAGAUCAUAGCAGUGCUCUGAUUUAAUCCCUUUAUGCCGCAGACGCAGGCAUAAAAUUCAAAAAAAAAAACAAACAAACAAAAAAAAACCACAUUACUUUGCUCUAGUCCCCUUAUUGAAACUUGAAAAAAUUGUAAACAUUAUAUUUUUUAUUUUUUGGUUUUUUGGCCAUACCAGAAUAUUCAGAAGUUCCCAAACCAGGAAGCAAAACUAUUCCACUACUUUGACACAAGCCAUAGCAGUGUCCUUAACCUGCUAUGCCACCAAGGUACUCUGUGAACAUUUAAAAAGUAAAUAAACUAAAUGAAGAAACAAACAUGAGCAUACAAUGUACUAAAUGCCACAAAGCUUUAAAUAAAUAUUUAAAGAAAAAAUGAUUAUUCAUUGUAGAAUAAGAUGCUAUGAAAUAGACAUUUUCAUAUAUUGCCAACAGUAAUACAAGGAUUAGAAAACAACUUGGCAAUAAUCCUUUGACCUUAUCUUGAAUAAAUCUGCCUUUUUCAUCUAUAUAAAUAAAAUAAUUCUAAGGAAAUAAUUUUAAUGACAAAAGAUAUGAAUCUAAGAAUUAUUUAAAACAGCCAAAAAAAAACUGCGAAUAAGUAAAAUGUGCAAUAAUGACUAAGUAAACAGUCAUGUAUAAAAGUCACAUGAUACCAUACCAGCCACUAUAAGUAAUUCAGAAAGUUCAAUUACAAUAUGAAAACUACUUCAUGCUAAAAUGUUCACUAGCAUUAGGAUUAAGAUGGCGGAAUAGAAGGACUGUAGCUCAACUCCUCUCCUAAAAACAACAAAAUUUACAAACCAAAUACCCAGCACUCUCCACCCAAAUGGAGCAGAAACAUUGAAAAAUAUAUCCUACUCCAGAAGAAAAAGAGGAGGCCACAUCAAGAGGCAGAAGAGGCAAUUACACUAUAUAAACAACCCCAUACCUCCCAGGUGGGAAGCCCCACAGACUGGAAUCUAACUGUACCACAGAGACUCACCCAAAGGAGUGAGAGUUCUGAGCCCCACAUCAAACCCCCAUGCGUGGGGAUCUGGCACUGGGAGAAAGAGCCCCUGGAGCAUCUGGCAUUGAAGGCCAGUGGGGCUUGUGCACAGGAGCUCCAUGGGACUGGGGGAAACGGAGAACCCAUUUUUAAAAGGUGCACACAUACAUACAUUCAAGUGCACUAGGUCCCAAGGCAAAGCUAACUCUCCACAGGAAUGUGGGUUAAAGCUGACUGCCAUUCUUGGAGGACCUCCUGGCAAAACAGGGGUGAAUGUGCCUUGCUGGGGGGAAGGACAUUGGAAGCAAAGAUCUUGGGAAUAUUCAGCAGCAUGCCUUUCUCUGGAGGAGGACAUUUUGGGAUAAUCUGGCCCCAUCCAUCAGUCAGCACUGAGAAGCCCCAGGGCAAACAACAAUCCAGGUGGGAUGACACAAAUAUCCAACAGUAAACAGGCUGCCUAAAGUCCCCCUAGGCACACAGCUGCCUCUAAUCUCAGCCAGAGACUAAGCCCCACCCACCAGAGGGAUAGGAUCAGCUCCACCUACCAGUGGGCAGGCAUCAGCCCCUCCCAUCAGGAAGCCUACAGCAAGCCCCCAUACUGACUUCAGCCACAAGGGGGGCAGACACCAGAAGUAAGAGAGGCUACAACGCCAGUAUCUGUAAAAAGGUCACCACACCAAAAACCUAUAAAAAUGAAAAGACAGAGAACUAUAACUCAGAUGAGGGAGAAAGACAAAACCCCAGAAUAUCAGCUAAGUGAUCAGGAGAUUCUUGGCCUCCAGGAAAAAGACUUUAGAUUGUUGAUGC